RNA transcript from Vigna angularis (adzuki bean), 2934 nucleotides. It is a transcript of the gene named transcription factor MYB33, with no coding region annotated. The transcript is spliced from 5 exons. The record is from RefSeq and is a predicted model, not a curated record. NCBI's taxonomy places the organism in Eukaryota, Viridiplantae, Streptophyta, Magnoliopsida, Fabales, Fabaceae.
ACUCUCUACAUUUUUGUUUUCUCUAACCCUUUUAUUUUUCUGUCUCUCUGCAUGAGACUGCGAAUGUUUGAGGCUUUGAUCUCAUGUUCUUCUCUCUCUUCGCUCUGAUCCUCUUCCAACCACGGUUGUACUCCCAUUCCCAUUUCUCUCUUUUCGUUCUCUCUGUGAAUCUGAAUUCUCAAUUCAAUUUUAUUAUUUUUAUGAUUGGAUAGAUUGAAAUUCCGAAACCAAUUCAUCGUUAUACUGUGUGUACAAAUGUUGCAUGGAAUUCACUUUAUUGGGUCUAAUUAUUAGUUGUUUAUUUAAAUUUCUUUAUUUUGUUUUUCAUCUGUGAAUUUCAGGGACGCGGUUUUCCUUCAGUUUUUAACUCAGGUUCAGCUUCUCUGCUAGCAACAAUAAGAUUCAUGUUUAUUGGGAAUUUGAACUAAAAUCCUUGGGUUUUAGAUUUUAGCUUGAGUACUCUCACGUCCUGUUUAGAGACUAUUAUUUAAGAGAUGGGUCAAAUGACACAUGAGAUUGAUGACACUGUGCAUGGUAAGAAUCAGACUGGGUCACGGUUGAAUGACGGUGGUAUUGGAGGAGGUGUUGUUCUGAAGAAAGGGCCAUGGACAGCUGCUGAAGAUGUUAUUUUGGUGGACUAUGUCAAUACGCAUGGAGAGGGGAAUUGGAAUGCUGUUCAGAAGUAUUCAGGACUUUCUCGGUGUGGAAAAAGUUGCAGAUUGCGAUGGGCCAAUCACCUAAGGCCAAACUUAAAGAAAGGCGCAUUUACUGCAGAAGAGGAGCAGAUGAUCGCUGAACUCCAUGCCAAAAUGGGAAACAAAUGGGCACGCAUGGCAGCACAUUUGCCUGGUCGUACAGAUAACGAAAUAAAAAACUACUGGAACACCCGGAUGAAGAGGCGUCAACGGGCUGGCUUGCCACUUUAUCCUCCGGAAGUAGUACUGCAAGCAUUUCAAGAUAAUAAGCAUGACCAAGGUACUGCUGAAAUCAGCGAUGGAGAUGGAGGCCACCAGGAUUUCAUGGAGAAAAACAAUUACGAGAUACAUGAUGCAAUAUAUGACAGUCUGAAGGAAAAUCAGGGAAUCUUACCUUUUGUGCCUCAGCUUCCUGAUAUUUCUGCUAAUAGCAUUCUGCCAAAUGUUCUUGGUUCUCCUCCAUACUGUAAUUUCCUGCCAUCGACAUUACCUAACCAUGAUCAUCUUCAAGAGUCAUCCGUGUCUUUUAUUGGUUCCAAUGAAUUGAACAGUAAUGGGUUUUAUCCAUUUGACCACUUUAAGGAUAAUACUUCUGAUAAGAUUGCAGAAUCAUUUGGAUUGCAUUCUCCCCUUGAUCAUGGUGCCUCCUCAUAUGGCUCAAUCUGUUACAGCCAUUCAAUAUCGAAUGACAAUUACUCUACUUCUAAGCUAGCUUCUGAGGCUGUGAAGUCAGAGCUCCCUUCACUCCAAUAUCCAGAAACUGAAUUUGGUAGCUGGGGUACCUCUCCCCCGCCUCCAUUGAAUGAUUCUACUGAUGUUUUCAUCCAUUCUCCUCAACCACCUUAUGCACUAGACUCAGGUUCUUCUUCAUCACUCACUCGUUGCUUCCUUAAUGAAUUUCUUUAUCAGCAGGCGAAGACUCUUGGUUAUUCAAAUAAUAAUUGGCCUGAGAGUUCAAAUUCAUCCAUUGCAACUCCCGUUGAUGGAGCUGAGAGUUCAGCUUUGAAUAUGUACGAGACAGAGUGGGAGGAUUAUGCUGACCCUGUAUCUUCCUUUGGUGCAACUUCAAUCCUGAAUGAGCAUCCUGUUGUUGGCACCAACGGAAAGCCAUGGGAUGGGUGGGAACCUUUUCAGACCUUUAGUGGCAACAAUGUGAAAUUGCAGUCAGUUGAGGUUUCGGCCCCUAUGAGUGAAAAUCAAUCCAUGUCCAUGUCUCUGUUGAAUCUCACUUGGCCAGAUGUCUUGCUGGCCUCAGAUUGGCACGAGCUGUAUUCUGAGCACAACAACAUGAACCAAGCUGACAUGAUUGAUGCUAGUGAUAAUUUCACGAGACAGUAAGCAUGUGGUGACUAAUGGAACUCAUUUUUCAAGUACAGGAUCUUGUUUCUUUCGUGUGGAUUAAGAUGACUCUUUUUGCAAUUGGCUGAUAUUAAUUCAGAAAACUGCUCAGUAUGUGAUUCAAACUUUCUAUUAUCCAUUUAUGUUUGGGAAGUGUGUGUAACAUCUACUGUUCUGAGAGUCUAUAUGGGUGUGACCUGUGUUAUCAAAUACCCAGGGUUUUGAAUAAUUUGUGGAAUAACACUGCACUUGAAACUUUGGACAACAUGUAGCUCAAUGGAAUGACAAUUGUUUUGCAUUUUCUUUUUGGUUCCAUUUGAAAGUGCAUGAAGGUUUGGUAGCUUUUGGAUAUUUUAGAAAGCAUGUGUUUUUGAUAAAAACAGCAUAAAGAUAGGCUCGGUUAACUCCCGAUGUAAAUUUAGGAUAUUAAUCAUUUUCAAGGGAAGAAUUGGUCACCAACUAAGCAAUCUUAUUGAUUUUACUGUUUUAGAAAGGUUAAGAAUCAACCCAAAACUUGAACCACAAGGCCAACUUCCCACCUCCCAGUCACACCGUGGUUCUCCAAAAAAAUCUAAGAAAAACCUUUCACUUAGCCCAUCAGUUAGCUCACGGCCUUUAGGCGUUUCAUCAUCACCCAUUCACUAAACCAAGCUCAAUCCCUUCCCCUAAUGCGCAGCAAAUCCCAACAAAGAGUCCACCAAAAAAACCUAGAAAAUCAACCAAGAACGUCAUUUCCCCCAACCUCUUGUUUCUAUCUAUCAUCAAAGUUCUCUUAAGAACUCACUAAGAACCUAUCCUGAAUCACUUCUAACCUUCCCAAAACUGUCCUAUCCCAUAAUAAACCCCUUAAAUCUUUUAAUCUUGGCCUAACCUCAGACUUAACCACCGUUUUUCAGCCUUA